This is a non-coding RNA of Lolium perenne, 873 nucleotides long. Lineage: Eukaryota; Viridiplantae; Streptophyta; Magnoliopsida; Poales; Poaceae. The record is from RefSeq and is a predicted model, not a curated record.
UAAUAUAUACCGUAGCUCAAAUUUCCCCCUCGCAUCGAUCAUUCUUUAGAAGAGGAGGGGAAACCCUCGCCUGCAUCUCUGCAGCCGCCACCCCCUUUCUUGAUAUGCUCAUCAAAGAUCAGAUCCGCCACCGUGUGCCACCGCCUUCGUGCUCCAUCGAAUCUAUCUCGUGUAGAUGUUAGACCUCCACUAUUAAGUUAAUCUAGGGCGGCCGGUGAAGGCGGCGCCACCGCUGCCGUCGCGGACAACGGCGAAGAGGUAGGGGUUGAUGCGGCCUGCGGGUGCUGCGGCAGGUGUGUGCGUGUGCGAUGGGUGGGGUAACUGGGUGUAUGGGGUUCCGUGGAUCCAUCUGAUCCAGAAGGCAGGCAGCAUCCUGCUCAACGCCAAUCCGCUCUUUCAGGCCAUACUUAUUUGUAGAGUACACAACCGUGUGAAACCAGUGUCGAUGGGAAUACCAGUUGAUAAGAGGCUACGCAUAUUGGAAGGACACAAAAAAUGUAUGCUAAAGAACAUCAGGGUUGUGUACCAAGCUAGGAGAUUACUAAGCAGCAAUGUCCUGAAAAUAUUGGCAAAGAGAGCUAUGUCAAUUCAUCUUUAGGACGUCGGUGCAUAACUGUCAUAGAUGCUUUGGGGGAUGUUAUUGCUUGGCCUAGGUUCUGUGUAAAAUCUGGAGCUAAAUAGGACUGAAAUGAAUGAAGAUGGAGAGGGCAAAGCAUUUGUUUCCGCCUCGAUAAAUCAAUGGAGGGAUAUUUGCUGUCAUUUUUGAGAGAUAAUUGUUAUAUAGGAUUUUUAUGAUUUUUCUGUUCAGGAUCUUUCCCGAUGUAUCUGUGAAUUAUUGAUAUGAAUAUUCUAUUCAGUUUUGAAUUUCUUUUA